GGAUUUUCCAUUCCCAAACCUGAUCUGAUCGCCCGGAUGGAACGAGGGGAAGAGCCAUGGGUACCCGAUCUCCAGGCUGCUAAGGAAAGAGAGAUCCUGAGAGGUGCCCACACAGCAGGUGCUGAGCGAGGGAGUGAGAAUGAGGCGGGGAAUCAUCAUGAGGAAAUUCCUGGGGAAGUGGAACCACAAGGGACCUUUAUGGGAAGAGCUGAAGGAAAUUUAUCCCAGUGCUUGGAACAGGGAGAAGCCUGGGGAAAUUGGCACAGGUCAGAGAGGCUGCUGGGAAACUACCCAAGGGAGCAAGUAGGUGAAUCUAUUAAAUGUAGGGGAGGAGACAAGGAUCCCAAAGCCCAGCAAACAGACCCCAGGGAAGAGAAACCCUACCACUGCCUCAAAUGUGGGAAAAGAUUCAUUGUGAGACCACACCAUCUUACACUUCAGACAAUCCAUAUUGGAGAGAAACCACUUCAAUUCUUGGACUAUGGGGAAAGCUU
This is a non-coding RNA of Chrysemys picta bellii (western painted turtle), 494 nucleotides long. The record is from RefSeq and is a predicted model, not a curated record. NCBI's taxonomy places the organism in Eukaryota, Metazoa, Chordata, Testudines, Emydidae.